UGGGGAAUUUUGCGCAAUGGACGAGAGUCUGACGCAGCAACGCCGCGUGGGUGAUGAAGGUCUUCGGAUUGUAAAACCCUGUCGUCAGGGACGAAGGUAUUAUUCUUAAUAGGGAUAAUGUUUGACGGUACCUGGAAAGGAAGCCCCGGCUAACUCUGUGCCAGCAGCCGCGGUAAUACAGAGGGGGCAAGCGUUAUUCGGAGUUACUGGGCGUAAAGGGCGCGUAGGCGGUUUUUUAAGUGAGAUGUGCAAUCCCCGGGCUCAACCUGGGAACUGCAUCUCAGACUGGGAAGCUAGAGUGCUGGAGAGGGUGGUGGAAUUCCACGUGUAGCGGUGAAAUGCGUAGAGAUGUGGAGGAACACCAGUGGCGAAGGCGGCCACCUGGACAGUGACUGACGCUGAGGCGCGAAAGCGUGGGUAGCAAACAGG
RNAcentral lists this ribosomal RNA (429 nucleotides) under uncultured bacterium. RNAcentral's name for it is "bacterial SSU rRNA". It matches the Rfam family "Bacterial small subunit ribosomal RNA", at positions 355 to 776 of the family's 1533-position model. The record is from RNAcentral.